Molecule: ribosomal RNA, 523 nt
Filed under: uncultured Bacteroidota bacterium
Lineage: Bacteria; Pseudomonadati; Bacteroidota
Description: bacterial SSU rRNA
Rfam family: Bacterial small subunit ribosomal RNA
Source: RNAcentral
AGAGUUUGAUCCUGGCUCAGGAUGAACGCUAGCGGCAGGCUUAAUACAUGCAAGUCGUGGGGCAGCAUGACUGUAGCAAUACAGUUGAUGGCGACCGGCAAACGGGUGCGGAACACGUACACAACCUUCCUUCGAGUGGGGAAUAGCCCGGGGAAACUCGGAUUAAUACCCCGUAACAUAAUGAAGUGGCAUCACUUUAUUAUUAUAGCUCCGGCGCUUGAAGAUGGGUGUGCGACUGAUUAGGCAGUUGGCGGGGUAACGGCCCACCAAACCUACGAUCAGUAACUGGUGUGAGAGCACGACCAGUCACACGGGCACUGAGACACGGGCCCGACUCCUACGGGAGGCAGCAGUAAGGAAUAUUGGUCAAUGGACGCAAGUCUGAACCAGCCAUGCCGCGUGGAGGAUGAAGGUCCUCUGGAUUGUAAACUUCUUUUAUCUGGGAAGAAAUGCAUUUUUUCCAGAAUGUUUGACGGUACCAGGUGAAUAAGCACCGGCUAACUCCGUGCCAGCAGCCGCGGUA